Molecule: unclassified non-coding RNA, 345 nt
Filed under: soil metagenome
Description: partial contains 5.8S ribosomal RNA, internal transcribed spacer 2, and large subunit ribosomal RNA
Rfam family: 5.8S ribosomal RNA (bases 1-119)
Source: RNAcentral
GAUGAAGAACGCAGCAAAAUGCGAUAAGUAGUGUGAAUUGCAAAUUCAGUGAAUCAUCGAGUCUUUGAACGCACAUUGCGCCCCCUGGUAUUCCGGGGGGCAUGCCUGUCCGAGCGUCAUUGCUGCCCUCAAGCACGGCUUGUGUGUUGGGCCCCGUCCUCCGAUCCCGGGGGACGGGCCCGAAAGGCAGCGGCGGCACCGCGUCCGGUCCUCGAGCGUAUGGGGCUUUGUCACCCGCUCUGUAGGCCCGGCCGGCGCUUGCCGAUCAACCCAAAUUUUUAUCCAGGUUGACCUCGGAUCAGGUAGGGAUACCCGCUGAACUUAAGCAUAUCAAUAAGCGGAGGA